AAACGUUCUGUGGUCUGAGGAGUGGGAAUAGGGCUCGAUAUUAGUGCAGCCAAAACGGGGAAUGAACGGGCCGCCUUAUUCUGCAUAUGGCUCCGAUCAAGUGGCUUGGAGAGACGCGAGGAAAUUGAAAAGAGAGGCUCACAUCUCAACCCUGUGCAUUGGUGAGCCAUCAAAGCCAAAGGCAUCUUCGUCUUCCUCCAGCGGCGUUUCCCAGGCUGUACCAGAGACUUGCUAACAGACCCACUUCG
Molecule: unclassified non-coding RNA, 248 nt
Filed under: Hevea brasiliensis (rubber tree)
Lineage: Eukaryota; Viridiplantae; Streptophyta; Magnoliopsida; Malpighiales; Euphorbiaceae
Source: RNAcentral